This 74-nucleotide transfer RNA is filed under the name Metabacillus mangrovi. RNAcentral describes it as "tRNA-Arg". It matches the Rfam family "tRNA". Rfam says of the family: Transfer RNA (tRNA) molecules are approximately 80 nucleotides in length. Their secondary structure includes four short double-helical elements and three loops (D, anti-codon, and T loops). Further hydrogen bonds mediate the characteristic L-shaped molecular structure. tRNAs have two regions of fundamental functional importance: the anti-codon, which is responsible for specific mRNA codon recognition, and the 3' end, to which the tRNAs corresponding amino acid is attached (by aminoacyl-tRNA synthetases). tRNAs cope with the degeneracy of the genetic code in two manners: having more than one tRNA (with a specific anti-codon) for a particular amino acid; and 'wobble' base-pairing, i.e. permitting non-standard base-pairing at the 3rd anti-codon position. RNAcentral also lists the same sequence under 2 other names. Lineage: Bacteria; Bacillati; Bacillota; Bacilli; Caryophanales; Bacillaceae. The record is from RNAcentral.
GUCCCAGUAGCUCAGCUGGAUAGAGCGACAGCCUCCUAAGCUGUAGGCCGUGAGUUCGAAUCUCGCCUGGGACG